RNAcentral lists this ribosomal RNA (301 nucleotides) under uncultured bacterium. Its description in RNAcentral is "partial 16S ribosomal RNA". It matches the Rfam family "Bacterial small subunit ribosomal RNA", at positions 509 to 808 of the family's 1533-position model. The record is from RNAcentral.
CAGCCGCCGCGGGAAUACGUAGGUGGCAAGCGUUGUCCGGAAUUAUUGGGCGUAAAGGGCUCGCAAGCGGUUUCUUAAGUCUGACGUGAAAGCCCCCGGCUCAACCGGGGAGGGUCAUUGGAAACUGGGAAACUUGAGUGCAGAAGAGGAGAGGGAAUUCCACGUGUAGCGGUGAAAUGCGUAGAGAUGUGGAGGAACACCAGUGGCGAAGGCGACUCUCUGGUCUGUAACUGACGCUGAGGAGCGAAAGCGUGGGGAGCGAACAGGAUUAGAUACCCCCGUAGUCCCUGUCUCUUAUACA